GCUUUUGUACACACCGCCCGUCGCUACUACCGAUUGAAUGAUUUAGUGAGGUCUUCGGACUGGUACGCGGCAUCGACUCUGUCGUUGCCGAUGCUACCGGAAAGAUGACCAAACUUGAUCAUUUAGAGGAAGUAAAAGUCGCAACAAGGUUUCCGUAGGUGAACCUGCGGAAGGAUCAUUA
This 181-nucleotide ribosomal RNA is filed under the name Schistocerca gregaria. RNAcentral's name for it is "partial 18S ribosomal RNA". It matches the Rfam family "Eukaryotic small subunit ribosomal RNA", at positions 1656 to 1831 of the family's 1831-position model. The record is from RNAcentral. Lineage: Eukaryota; Metazoa; Arthropoda; Insecta; Orthoptera; Acrididae. RNAcentral also lists the same sequence under 1 other name.